Molecule: microRNA precursor, 69 nt
Filed under: Ochotona princeps (American pika)
Lineage: Eukaryota; Metazoa; Chordata; Mammalia; Lagomorpha; Ochotonidae
Description: miRNA (ENSOPRG00000021297.1)
Source: RNAcentral
CUGCCGGCAGUCACAGCUCUCGGCAGUCACAGCUCUCGGUUCCAGCUGCAGCUGACCUGGGCCUGGCAG